Molecule: unclassified non-coding RNA, 153 nt
Filed under: uncultured Podospora
Lineage: Eukaryota; Fungi; Ascomycota; Sordariomycetes; Sordariales; Lasiosphaeriaceae
Description: sequence contains ITS1
Source: RNAcentral
AAGAGUUGCAAAACUCCCUUAAACCAUCGUGAACGUACCUCUGAACAGUUGCUUCGGCAGGCCGGCCCCCCCCGGGGUGCCGCCAAAGGCCUGCCGAAGGUACCCAAACCAUUGUUUUUACAGGCCUCUCUGAGUAUCGUACUUAAUAAGUCA